CUCACCGCAACCUCUGCCUCUGGGGUUCAAGCGAUUCUCAUGCCUCAGCCUCCCGUUUUCUUAAUAUUUCUUUCCCUACUAAAUAGUAAUUCACGCUAUUAAUACUAUUGACCUUAUUAUUAAGGACAAGACAACGCUGUUACCCUCACAACCCCCACAGCACAAUACCUUGUAUCUACUAUGUGUUCAACAAAUAUUUGUCUAAUAAAUUGAUUAGAAGGAUCCUUCUAAAUGAUAAUAAAGUAAAUACAGAACGUCACACUAUAGAUGUCAUUCCCAUUGCCAGUACCCUUUCAUCAUGGUGACAAAAUCAGCUGUCCUGGAGCGUCUGAGCAUGAGGAGUGGGAGAGGAAAUAUUGCUGAAGCCUCACGAGUUGGCGAACAAGAGCAUCCCCUUCCAGAAGGGCAUCAAGAAUGACAUCUCUUAGUGAUGGCUGUGUUUAACAACCAACUCCCAGAAUUCCUGAAAAGUUGACAGCCUCUGGAGGCCGUGUGAGACAGGUCCUGCAAAUCCCCGUGACAAGCAGAGACACUGCAUAUCCUGGGGAGGGUCCCGGGAGCUGGGGGCAGGAUUCUGCAGGUCAGCAAGCCCCUCCAGCACUUCUCUCACACGCUGAGGCUUGUGAGUUUGAGAACUGGACCAUCUGGCUUUGCUGCCUGGAGCACAGGUCUGAGACCCCUCGGAAUCCUCAGCCAAGCCCAGCCACACCGCUGAUGCCCAGCCACACCGCUGAUGCCCAGGCACACUGCAGAUACCCAGCCACACCGCUGAUGCCCAGCCACACUGCAGAUGCCCAGUCACACCGCUGAUGCCCAGCCACACCACUGAUGCCCAGUGCCCAGGCACACCGCAGAUGCCCAGCCACACCACUGAUGCCCAGCCACACUGCUGAUACCCAGCCACACUGCAGAUGCCCAGGCACACCACUGAUGCCUAGCCACACUGCUGAUGCCCAGCCACACCGCUGAUGCCCAGGCACACUGCUGAUGCCCAGUGCCCAGGCACACCGCUGAUGCCCAGGCACACUGCUGAUGCCCAGCCACACUGCAGAUGCCCAGCCACACCGCUGAUGUGCAGUCACACCACUGAUGCCCAGCGCCCAGGCACACCACUGAUGCCCAGCCACACUGCAGAUGCCCAGCCACACCGCUGAUGCGUAGCCACACUGCUGAUGCCCAGCGCCCAGGCACACCGCUGAUGUGCAGCCACACCACUGAUGCCCAAGCACACCGCAGAUGCCCAGCCACACCGCUGAUGCCCAGGCACACCACUGAUGCCCAGCCUUCAGGCCAUGGAGGAGGCAGAAGAGCAAGCUGGUCUGGAUUUUGCCAACCCACCUCCGGUGGUGCCUACCUCUUGAUUUUUGCUGUUUCACUCAAGUGACUUGUCUGAAAUAUAGAGUGGUCCCUUAUGUCUUUCUGUUCCAAUCCUCCAAACACUACCAGCUUGGCCUACAGACAUUUAGGAUGUGGUGGUUAAAAAUAUAUAUUGCUUUUAGAUUUAUGGCACUUACCAGUUACUUGAAUUGAUGUAUUUAAUUUUGUCAUUACCAGCCAAUCUAUUAGUUGAAUGCUCCUGAAGCUUUCAUCAAAGCAUUUGGGGAAAGAAAAAAGAAUUUU
Non-coding RNA from Macaca mulatta (Rhesus monkey), 1620 nucleotides. NCBI's taxonomy places the organism in Eukaryota, Metazoa, Chordata, Mammalia, Primates, Cercopithecidae. The record is from RefSeq and is a predicted model, not a curated record.